AGCGCCGUGAACUGCUGAAACGCGUGAGACGCAAGCGGCCUCCGGAGCCGUGUGCGCAGGUUCGAAUCCUGCCGGGGGUACCA
Molecule: transfer RNA, 83 nt
Filed under: Streptomyces nanshensis
Lineage: Bacteria; Bacillati; Actinomycetota; Actinomycetes; Kitasatosporales; Streptomycetaceae
Description: tRNA-Arg
Source: RNAcentral